GGGGGCCUUGUGCUCCCGGGCCCGCGCCCGCCGAAGACCCCUCGAACGCUGCCCUGAAGGUUGCCGUCUGAGUAUAGAAUCAAUCAUUAAAACUUUCAACAACGGAUCUCUUGGUUCCGGCAUCGAUGAAGAACGCAGCGAAAUGCGAUAAGUAAUGUGAAUUGCAGAAUUCCGUGAAUCAUCGAAUCUUUGAACGCACAUUGCGCCCCCUGGCAUUCCGGGGGGCAUGCCUGUCCGAGCGUCAUUGCUAACCCUCCAGCCCGGCUGGUGUGUUGGGUCGACGUCCCCCCCGGGGGACGGGCCCGAAAGGCAGCGGCGGCGCCGCGUCCGAUCCUCGAGCGUAUGGGGCUUUGUCACGCGCUCUGGUAGGGUCGGCCGGCUGGCCAGCCAGCGACCUCACGGUCACCUAUUUUUUCUCUUAGGUUGACCUCGGAUCAGGUAGGGAUACCCGCUGAACUUAAGCAUAUCAAUAAGCGGAGGAAAAGAAACCAACAGGGAUUGCCCUAGUAACGGCGAGUGAAGCGGCAAGAGCUCAAAUUUGAAAUCUGGCUCCUCCGGGGUCCGAGUUGUAAUUUGCAGAGGAUGCUUCGGGUGCGGUCCCCGUCUAAGUACCCUGGAAUGGGUCGUCAUAGAGGGUGAGAAUCCCGUCUGGGACGGGUGGCCGUGUCCGUGUGAAGCUCCUUCGACGAGUCGAGUUGUUUGGGAAUGCAGCUCUAAAUGGGUGGUAAAUUUCAUCUAAAGCUAAAUAUUGGCCGGAGACCGAUAGCGCACAAGUAGAGUGAUCGAAAGAUGAAAAGCACUUUGAAAAGAGAGUUAAACAGCACGUGAAAUUGUUGAAAGGGAAGCGCUUGCGACCAGACUCGCCCGCGGGGGUUCAGCCGGUACUCGUACCGGUGUACUCCCCCGUGGGCGGGCCAGCGUCGGUUUGGGCGGCCGGUCAAAGGCCUCCGGAAUGUAUCGCCCUUCGGGGCGUCUUAUAGCCGGGGGUGCAAUGCGGCCAGC
This 1002-nucleotide ribosomal RNA is filed under the name fungal sp. RNAcentral describes it as "eukaryotic LSU rRNA". The stretch from base 425 to 1002 matches the Rfam family "Eukaryotic large subunit ribosomal RNA", at positions 1 to 583 of the family's 3401-position model. The record is from RNAcentral. Lineage: Eukaryota; Fungi.